Molecule: unclassified non-coding RNA, 163 nt
Filed under: Oceanobacillus picturae
Lineage: Bacteria; Bacillati; Bacillota; Bacilli; Caryophanales; Bacillaceae
Description: T-box
Source: RNAcentral
AAUAAUUCGAUGACGAGAAAGAGUAGCUAUGUUUAUCUUAUCUACAGAGAGUUGACGAUUGCUGAAAGUCAACGGUGAGACCAUAAUGAAAAUCCUCUCCGAGAAGCAAAGUUGAAAAAUUUUUAAACUUUGACGGCAUUCUACCGAUACCCAGGACGCGUAU